GAUGAACGCUGGCGGCGUGCCUAAUACAUGCAAGUCGAGCGAACAGACGAGGAGCUUGCUCCUUCGACGUUAGCGGCGGACGGGUGAGUAACACGUAGGUAACCUACCUAUAAGACUGGGAUAACUUCGGGAAACCGGAGCUAAUACCGGAUAAUAUUUCGAACCGCAUGGUUCGAUAGUGAAAGAUGGCUUUGCUAUCACUUAUAGAUGGACCUGCGCCGUAUUAGCUAGUUGGUAAGGUAACGGCUUACCAAGGCAACGAUACGUAGCCGACCUGAGAGGGUGAUCGGCCACACUGGAACUGAGACACGGUCCAGACUCCUACAGGAGGCAGCAGUAGGGAAUCUUCCGCAAUGGGCGAAAGCCUGACGGAGCAACGCCGCGUGAGUGAUGAAGGUCUUCGGAUCGUAAAACUCUGUUAUUAGGGAAGAACAAACGUGUAAGUAACUAUGCACGUCUUGACGGUACCUAAUCAGAAAGCCACGGCUAACUACGUG
Molecule: ribosomal RNA, 497 nt
Filed under: uncultured bacterium
Lineage: Bacteria
Description: partial 16S ribosomal RNA
Rfam family: Bacterial small subunit ribosomal RNA
Source: RNAcentral